GACGGACGCUGGCGGCGUGCCUAAUACAUGCAAGUUGAGCGCUGAAGGUUGGUACUUGUACCAACUGGAUGAGCAGCGAACGGGUGAGUAACGCGUGGGGAAUCUGCCUUUGAGCGGGGGACAACAUUUGGAAACGAAUGCUAAUACCGCAUAAAAACUUUAAACACAAGUUUUAAGUUUGAAAGAUGCAAUUGCAUCACUCAAAGAUGAUCCCGCGUUGUAUUAGCUAGUUGGUGAGGUAAAGGCUCACCAAGGCGAUGAUACAUAGCCGACCUGAGAGGGUGAUCGGCCACAUUGGGACUGAGACACGGCCCAAACUCCUACGGGAGGCAGCAGUAGGGAAUCUUCGGCAAUGGACGAAAGUCUGACCGAGCAACGCCGCGUGAGUGAAGAAGGUUGUCGGAUCGUAAAACUCUGUUGGUAGAGAAGAACGUUGGUGAGAGUGGAAAGCUCAUCAAGUGACGGUAACUACACAGAAAGGGACGGCUAACUACGUG
Molecule: ribosomal RNA, 497 nt
Filed under: uncultured bacterium
Lineage: Bacteria
Description: partial 16S ribosomal RNA
Rfam family: Bacterial small subunit ribosomal RNA
Source: RNAcentral